Molecule: microRNA, 22 nt
Filed under: Tetranychus urticae (two-spotted spider mite)
Lineage: Eukaryota; Metazoa; Arthropoda; Arachnida; Trombidiformes; Tetranychidae
Description: tur-miR-71-3p
Gene: tur-miR-71-3p
Source: miRBase by way of RNAcentral
UCUCACUACUUUGUCUUUGGCG